Molecule: ribosomal RNA, 150 nt
Filed under: Acinetobacter baumannii
Lineage: Bacteria; Pseudomonadati; Pseudomonadota; Gammaproteobacteria; Moraxellales; Moraxellaceae
Description: partial 23S ribosomal RNA
Rfam family: Bacterial large subunit ribosomal RNA
Source: RNAcentral
GGUAAGGUGAUAUGAACCGUUAUAACCGGCGAUUUCCGAAUGGGGAAACCCAGUGUGAUUCGUCACACUAUCAUUAACUGAAUCCAUAGGUUAAUGAGGCGAACCGGGGGAACUGAAACAUCUAAGUACCCCGAGGAAAAGAAAUCAAAA